GUCGGGAUAGCUCAGCUGUAGAGCAGAGA
Molecule: transfer RNA, 29 nt
Filed under: Artocarpus fretessii
Lineage: Eukaryota; Viridiplantae; Streptophyta; Magnoliopsida; Rosales; Moraceae
Description: partial tRNA-Phe
Source: RNAcentral